GACCUGAUGGUGCAAUGGUCAGCACGUCUGCUUGAAAUAUUUCGUGAGGAUGAAUGUAGGCAGAAGAUCCUCGUUCGAUUCGGGGUUUGGUCG
Mycena crocata is the source of this 93-nucleotide non-coding RNA. Lineage: Eukaryota; Fungi; Basidiomycota; Agaricomycetes; Agaricales; Mycenaceae. The record is from the annotation of a GenBank genome assembly.